RNAcentral lists this ribosomal RNA (446 nucleotides) under uncultured bacterium. Its description in RNAcentral is "SSU rRNA". It matches the Rfam family "Bacterial small subunit ribosomal RNA", at positions 26 to 520 of the family's 1533-position model. The record is from RNAcentral.
AGAGCGAACGCUGGCGGCAUGCUUAACACAUGCAAGUCUCACGGGCAGCAAUGUCAGUGGCGGACGGGUGAGUAACGCGUAGGUAUCUAUCCAUGGGUGGGGGAUAACGUCGAGAAACUGACGCUAAUACCGCAUGACAUCUGAGGAUCAAAGGCGCGAGUCGCCUGUGGAGGAGCCUGCGUACGAUUAGCUAGUUGGUGGGGUAAAGGCCUACCAAGGCGACGAUCGUUAGCUGGUCUGAGAGGAUGAUCAGCCACACUGGGACUGAGACAUGGCCCAGACUCCUACGGGAGGCAGCAGUGGGGAAUAUUGGACAAUGGGCGAAAGCCUGAUCCAGCAAUGCCGCGUGUGUGAAGAAGGUCUUCGGAUUGUAAAGCACUUUCGGCGGGGACGAUGAUGACGGUACCCGCAGAAGAGCCCGGCUAACUUCGCGCCAGCAGCCGCGU